AAAACAUUGCUUUCUGAAAUUUUAUAGAAAGUAAUUCCUGCCCAGUGACAACUGUUCAACGGCCGCGGUAUCCUAACCGUGCAAAGGUAGCAUAAUAACUUGCCUAUUAAUUGUAGGCUAGAAUGAACGGGUAAACGAAAUAAGAACUGUCUCAAUCAGUUAAUAUAAAAAUUAAUAUCUGUACGAAGAAUUACAGAUACAGUUGAAGGACAAGAAGACCCUAUAGAGCUUUAUUUUAAACAUAUAUUAAAAUAUGUAAAAAUUCGGUUGGGGCGACCCAGGAAUUUAUAAAACAUCCUAAAAAACAAAGAUCUAUAAAUCUAUUAAAUGACCCUUAUUAAGAUCAAAAGACAAAGCUACCUUAGGGAUAACAGGCUAAUCCUAUUUAAGAGUCCAUAUCAAUAAUAGGGUUUGGCACCUCGAUGUUGGCUUAGGGUAUCAAUAUAGCGCAAAAGUUAUAUAAAGAUGGUUUGUUCAACCAAUUAUUCCCUACAUGAGCUGA
RNAcentral lists this ribosomal RNA (502 nucleotides) under Octochaetus kenleei. RNAcentral's name for it is "partial 16S ribosomal RNA". It matches the Rfam family "Bacterial large subunit ribosomal RNA", at positions 1810 to 2608 of the family's 2925-position model. Lineage: Eukaryota; Metazoa; Annelida; Clitellata; Crassiclitellata; Octochaetidae. The record is from RNAcentral.